RNAcentral lists this ribosomal RNA (460 nucleotides) under uncultured bacterium. RNAcentral's name for it is "partial 16S ribosomal RNA". It matches the Rfam family "Bacterial small subunit ribosomal RNA", at positions 338 to 795 of the family's 1533-position model. The record is from RNAcentral.
CCUACGGGCGGCAGCAGUGAGGAAUAUUGGUCAAUGGCCGGAAGGCUGAACCAGCCAUGCCGCGUGCAGGUCAGUGCCCUAUGGGCGUUAAACUUCCUUUGUGCGGGAGCAAUAAUGGUCACGUGUGGCCAGACGAGAGUUCCGUACGAAUAAGCAUCGGCUAACUCCGUGCCAGCAGCCGCGGUAAUACGGGGGAUGCAAGCGUUAUCCGGAUUUAAUGGGUUUUAAGGGUGCGUAGGCUGUGUGGUAAGUCAGCGGUGAAAUGCCCCGGCUCAACGGGGGGCAGUGCCAUUGAUACUGCCGUGCUAGAAUGCGGAUGCGGUAGGAGGAAUGUGUAGUGUAGCGGUGAAAUGCAUAGAGAUCACACAGAACACCGAUUGCGAAGGCAGCUCACGAAUCCGCGAUUGACGCUGAGGCACGAAAGCGUGGGUAGCAAACAGGAUUAGAUACCCCUGUAGUC